GAUGAACGCUGGCGGCGUGCCUAAUACAUGCAAGUCGAGCGAACAGACGAGGAGCUUGCUCCUCUGACGUUAGCGGCGGACGGUUGAGUAACACGUGGAUAACCUACCUAUAAGACUGGGAUAACUUCGGGAAACCGGAGCUAAUACCGGAUAAUAUAUUGAACCGCAUGGUUCAGUAGUGAAAGACGGUUUUGCUGUCACUUAUAGAUGGAUCCGCGCCGCAUUAGCUAGUUGGUAAGGUAACGGCUUACCAAGGCAACGAUGCGUAGCCGACCUGAGAGGGUGAUCGGCCACACUGGAACUGAGACACGGUCCAGACUCCUACGGGAGGCAGCAGUAGGGAAUCUUCCGCAAUGGGCGAAAGCCUGACGGAGCAACGCCGCGUGAGUGAUGAAGGUCUUCGGAUCGUAAAACUCUGUUAUUAGGGAAGAACAAAUGUGUAAGUAACUAUGCACGUCUUGACGGUACCUAAUCAGAAAGCCACGGCUAACUACGUG
Molecule: ribosomal RNA, 497 nt
Filed under: uncultured bacterium
Lineage: Bacteria
Description: partial 16S ribosomal RNA
Rfam family: Bacterial small subunit ribosomal RNA
Source: RNAcentral